Molecule: long non-coding RNA, 1451 nt
Organism: Bactrocera neohumeralis
Lineage: Eukaryota; Metazoa; Arthropoda; Insecta; Diptera; Tephritidae
Exons: 2
Source: RefSeq, a predicted model, not a curated record
AAUUAAGAAAAAAUACAAUGGUUGUGAACACGUCGUUACAAAUUUGUUGUCGUAAAUCGUUAUCAAUCAGCUGAUUGAAAAAACAUAUAUUAGAAUAUUUGCAGAAAUAAGUAUUUCGCAUUCAAAAUGCCAAGGAGAAGUGAAAAUUUUAAAAUAAUGGAUGCGCUGUGCAAGAAUCAGGCAUUAAACCUGAUGAUACUUGACUCAACCGACGAUGAAGAUGAUGACGAAAUGUUUGAAAAUUUUUCAUUGAGUUUACUUUGCUUAUUAAACACUCGUAGAAGUGUGCAUCUCGGAAUACCAAAGUCAUCCCAAUGGCGACAUAAUGUACUUAGGAACUUUGAUGACAGCCGUUUCAACGAAAUGAUUCGUGUUCGCCCGGACGAAUUUUCGCCGCAUACUAGAUUAUAUAAAGGACGAUAGUGUAUUUAACACAAAUUCCAGUGGAGCACAACUUCCUUUAGAUUUACAACUAAAAAAGGUGCUAUUUAGGUUGGGAUCUUCCAGAAAUGGAUUAUCUAUACGAAAGGUUGCUUCAUUGUUUGGCGUGGAUGAUGGAGGCACUAUUCAAAAUAUAACUAAGCGCGUAUUCAAAGCAAUAUUGAGGUUAAAAGAGAAGUUUCUGUUUUGGCCAAAUGAAAAUGAACGGUUGGAAAUUGUUACUGCAACGCGGAAAGAGAUGCCAGGUUGUAUAGGAUAUAUUGAUGGAUCCGAAUUAAAGUUGGCUGAAGCGCCAGCCAAAAACAUGAACUUUUUUAUUCACGAAAACGCCAAUAUGCUAUUAAAAUGCAAGCAAUUUGUGACUAUAAGCUACGAAUUAGACAAGUCACAAUAGGAUACCCUGGAAGUGUUUAUGACUCCAAAUUCUUUUUGAAUAGCCCGCUUGCAAAACAUCCUCAACGAUUUUUAUCUAACUCUCAGUGGAUUGCUGGAGAUAGCGCCUAUCCACUUAAACAAUUUUUAUUGACAUCGUUCAGGAAAAAUAGUACGGACUACACUAUGGAAGAAAGAGAAAGUUAAAAUAAGUACUUUUCAAAAUAUCAUGUGCGAAUUGAGAAUUGUUUUGGCAUUUUAAAAGAAAAAUUCGGUAGCUUGAAGGAAUUGAAGUUUAGAAUGAUAAAUGAGCGAAAUAAAAAAGAAUGCAAUGAGUGGAUCAUGGUAUGCUGCAUUCUCCAUAAUAUGCUAAUCAAUUUCCAAAUUGAAAACGAAGAAAGCGUUGAAAUUAACCCACCUCAAUAUAGCUUACCACCAGGAAGUAACACAAGAUCUAGCGUUCUUGACUUCAUACAAAAUCAUAGAUUAACUUAAAAUACAUCAUUAUUUAAACGUAUACAAGUAUUUACUAUUCAUUAGUUUAAUUAGUACAUAUGUAAAAAUGUUUUUUUGUUUUUUUAUUAAAAAAUUAAUAUAAAAAGUAAUUAUUAAAAAUAAACUUCAGGUACAUUAAUUCA